GUGGAUAUAGUUUAACAAAAACAUCAGAUUGUGAUUCUGAAAAUAGAAGUUAAAACCCUCUUCUCCACC
RNAcentral lists this transfer RNA (69 nucleotides) under Polynemus dubius (eastern paradise fish). Its description in RNAcentral is "tRNA-His". It matches the Rfam family "tRNA". From Rfam's summary of the family: Transfer RNA (tRNA) molecules are approximately 80 nucleotides in length. Their secondary structure includes four short double-helical elements and three loops (D, anti-codon, and T loops). The record is from RNAcentral. RNAcentral also lists the same sequence under 1 other name. Lineage: Eukaryota; Metazoa; Chordata; Actinopteri; Polynemidae.